GGAAGUAAAAGUCGUAACAAGGUUUCCGUAGGUGAACCUGCGGAAGGAUCAUUACUGAUUUAGCGAACCGAGCGUUAGCGAGGUUUUGCGAUCAACUUGUAUUUAAGACCCACUCUUCAAUGUAUAAAAUUUGUAUUAAUGAUAAAUUAAAAGAUCACUUUCAACAACGGAUCUCUUGGCUCUCGCAUCGAUGAAGAACGUAGCGAAGUGCGAUAAGUAAUGUGAAUUGCAGUAUUCCGUGAAUCAUCGAACCUUUGAACGCAUAUUGCACUUUCUGGUAUUCCGGAAAGUAUGCCUGUUUGAGGGUCAGUUAAAUAAAAAUCGGUGUUGUUGCCGCUUUCCGUGGUGACGCGUCGGAAUUGAGUCGUCUUCGGUUAAGUGACUUAAAAUUUUAUAUGAUUUUCGAACGUAUUUAAAUUUAUUUGAACGUUUGAUAUCGAAUGCUUAUUAGGUUCGGUCAUCCUCAUGACUCGCGCCUAUAAUUUUUCAUUAAAUGACCUCAAAUCAGGUAAGAAUACCCGCUGAACUUAAGCAUAUCAAUAAGCGGAGGA
This 551-nucleotide ribosomal RNA is filed under the name uncultured Glomus. Its description in RNAcentral is "eukaryotic LSU rRNA". The stretch from base 156 to 309 matches the Rfam family "5.8S ribosomal RNA". Lineage: Eukaryota; Fungi; Glomeromycota; Glomeromycetes; Glomerales; Glomeraceae. The record is from RNAcentral.